This 22-nucleotide microRNA is filed under the name Mus musculus (house mouse). RNAcentral's name for it is "mmu-miR-5627-5p". Lineage: Eukaryota; Metazoa; Chordata; Mammalia; Rodentia; Muridae. The record is from miRBase by way of RNAcentral.
AGAGGGUGCGCCGGGCCCUGCG